RNAcentral lists this ribosomal RNA (1164 nucleotides) under Triticum aestivum (bread wheat). Its description in RNAcentral is "partial small subunit ribosomal RNA". Lineage: Eukaryota; Viridiplantae; Streptophyta; Magnoliopsida; Poales; Poaceae. The record is from RNAcentral.
AUGGUGAUUAAUCGUGUAGAAAACAGUGACCAAUCCCCAGAAGAUUGGGUUAGUGACGAGGAUGGUUCAGGUGGAUUCACUGGAUUACCAGGGACACCAUGUUUUACUUCUAGGCUUUCAUUGCUCAAAUUUGGUUCGGUUGUUGCCAAGUUCGGUGAUUUCAAGCGGCAACUAGUUAUGGAGACUGGUUUUGGGGGGUUUCUAGAGGUGAAGGCAUGGCAGAAGAUUAAUCUGAAGUAUAGCACUUUUUCAAUGGACCGAGUGCAUGUAGAAUCCAGCACAAUCAACCUUGAGGAACAGGGCGUGCUUGAACUGUCCGAACAGAAGCUUAAUUAUGUUUUUGGCAUCCCCUCCGGUGAAUUCGAUAUAAACGGCAAAGGCGUCGAGCCAUCAGAAGCCUGCAUCGAGUACACCCGAAUGGCAGCAUCAUUCAUCGACAAAGGCACACAUAGCCUAAAAGCAGCUGAAAAUGUUUUGCUUGGAGCUAUAUCAGAAUCGUCAUCCCAAAUACAGCAGGACUGUUUCAAGAUUGCAUUUGUUAUUUUUAUAAUCGUUCAUGUGCUGACUCCCACCUCCAAACAUGAUUAUAUAUCCAUAGACUUCUGGGCUGCACUGAAUGACAUUAGCAAGAUCAAGAGUUGGAACUGGGGAGGGUAUGUACUAAAACACUUGUUUCAAGCUGUCAGAAAGUUCAAGACAGAUGUUUCAAAGAGAAACCCAACCAUCCACAUAGUUGGCUGUCACUUGUUUCUGCAGGUUUUUGUUCUCGAUUGUCUCGACCUUGGUAUACUAAACAAGCCGCAAGAAAUAACCCCCCACAUAGGUUUGUAUGAUUAUGAUUCAAUGAGGAAGAUGGUUGAGAACAUUGCAGUGAACAUAUCUCCUGGGGAGAUUUCCUACCACGGGGGAGCGGUUCGGCCCGAGCUCUCUGUUAGCCAGCCGAUUGAACUCCAUGCGAAAGAUACAUGCUCCCUAAAUCCCCCCAAACAAGCAACAGCCCCUAAAGAGCAAGCAUACCAUCCACGCCAAUGCUAUGGUGUAAUUACACAAGGACUGGCCCACAAGAUUUUUCAAAUUACAUCCGCACAAAAUACCCGAACAUAUCAGCAGAGAAGCUGGGUAUUCUUCUUCACGAGCAGAAUGCACGUGGUCUCGCUAAUAUAA